RNAcentral lists this long non-coding RNA (19437 nucleotides) under Medicago truncatula (barrel medic). RNAcentral describes it as "long non-coding RNA (MTRU_LNC007681)". The record is from RNAcentral. Lineage: Eukaryota; Viridiplantae; Streptophyta; Magnoliopsida; Fabales; Fabaceae.
UUUUAAUCAUGUUUUUUUUCAUCAUUCAAUUGCAAGGAAAAUGGUCAUAAGUCAUAACAAUCUGAAGUUUUGCAAGAAAGCAAGUAAAAUCCAACCAAACCGUAGAUCAAACUCAUAGACUCCUUAUAUAUCGUUCUCUUUCUUUCCUCUUCGUAUUGAGCUCUAAUUUAUCUAAAUUGAAGUACUCUUUAAACUUCUUUACUAAGGAACCUUUUACAUAUAAAAAGGUGUGUGUAUAUAUAUAAAUAUAAUAAGUUGAAUUUUUUUACAAUAAGUAAAAACACACAAAGGUUAAAUUUGAACAACAGUCUCUUUUAUGUUCUUAUCCCAAAAAAAAGUGAACAAGAGCUUUCACCCUUUCUCUGUUAGUUUGUGUUUGGGUGUUAGUGAAGGUGUAUAUUGUAUGGCGCAGGAGACUGCAUGCACGUGAGUACACUGUUCAAAUGUAGUACAAAAAUUGAAAUGUUUGAAGGAAAAAAAAUCAACUUUGGUUUUAGGGAACCGUGCCCAUAAUCUUUUAACGUUCACGUGUAGUGAAACAACAUAAUAACUUUGUUCUCAUAUGAAAUGGAUUGGAGGAGAUGCUGGGUUUUGUUCUCUUUCUUGUUAGCUAUUUCUAGUUUUCAAAAUUCAAAUACAUUUCCAUGUUCUUUUUAGCAAUGGGUCCAAGGUGACUAAUUUCCAUGUUACUAACAGAAAAUUCUCUUCAUUAAUUGGUCAUGUUUCUCAUAUAGAUUUGCUAGAAAUUAUGUGAUAUAACGAAUUAUCUUGGUAGAAUAUAGACAAGUAUUGAGGUUGCUUGCAUUUAUUAAGUAGGCCCCAUAUUGAAAUUUUUGAGUAUUGACUUUCAUCAUAGUUGCAAACAAUUCUCUCUUUUAUUGAUCAAAGAAAGACCUCAAAUUAGAAGUUUGAUUUAGAAAUUCUUGGUUUGUUUCAAAUUUUGGCAUAAUCCCAUGGGCCCUCUACUUCAAUUGUAGUUUUCUUAAUUUCAACAUACUAUACUAGUUUCAAUUAAUUCCAAUUAAAACAAUUAGGUUACUCAUAUUCAUUACACAAAUAUAUGGGAUUAUAAUAUGAACUUCCAAAGGCGAACAUAACUAUUUUUGGUAAAUUUUAAUACAAUAUUAGAUAUGUUCUCCUUUUUACUAUAUAUGGUAGGGGUCUACAUUAUACCCACCCAAAAAAAUUGACAAUGAUAUAUAUAUGUUGCUUAAUUCUUUGUAAUUAAUUUUGGUGCAGGCGUGACAGUUUCAUCACUCAUAGGGCAUUUUGUGAUGCACUAGCACAAGAGAGUGUAUUAAGACACCAUAACCCUUUUGGGAGUACUCAUCAAUUGUAUGCCACAAACCAUCACAUUAGUUUAGGCCAAAUAUCCCAUCAAUUGCAAAAUCAUCAGAACCAAAUUACAUCAUCCACUAGCAACAAUAACAACCUUUUGCGCCUUGGAUCAGCACCACCAAAAUUUGAACAAAACUUAAUCUCAUCACCACCUUUAAAUCACUCUUCAUCAUUUGGACACUCAAUCCCAUCUUCAUCACCAUUCUUCAAUAUGAGUGAUAUUUCAAAUCAAUCCUUUGAAGAACAACAAUCUCAACAAGGACAAUUCUUAAACAAACAACUACAUGGUCUAAUGCAUCUUCCUGAUCUUCAAGGCAAUACAAAUACAAACAAUUCAAAUUCUUCCAAUCUUUUCAACCUUAUGGUUCAUGAUCAAUUCAACAACAUGAGUAGUACCCAAGGAACAACACUUUACAUUAACAACAAUAGCUCUUUAAGUGAUCAUCAAGUUGGUUUUGUCAAUUCAAUGCAACAUGGUCAAAACAUGUCUAGUCCUCACAUGUCUGCCACUGCAUUGCUUCAAAAAGCUUCUCAGAUUGGUUCAACUAAUUCUACCAACAAUAACAAAGGUAGUAAUAAUGAUCAUAAAUCAGGUGAUAGGGACUUUGUUGUGUCUGAUCACAACAACAUCAAUGCCACUUUUGGAAAUAGAAGUUCAAGUAUUGAAAAUGAUCAUGACAACAACGAUCUUCAUGGAUUGAUAAACUCUAUUGCAAAUGGAAACACAUCAUCCAUAUUUGGCAAUGAAAGCAAUCUUAAUAUGAGAUUUGGUGGAUCUGAUAAGUUAACUUUAGAUUUUCUUGGUGUUGGAGGAAUGGUCAGAAAUAUGAGUGGUGGAUUUUCACAAAGUGAACAACAACGUGACAUGAUGAAUACUAGUAUGGUUUCUUUGAAUCAUGACCUAAAAUCAGCACAUUCAAGUCAACAUUUUGGAAGCUCAAAUAUCUUGCAAUGAAGAUUGGGGUGAGAAAUUUAUUAAUUUAAGGAAAUAUUGCUUGUUAGUUACAUGUGAAUUAUUCAUUAAUUAAGUAGUAAACUUUGUUUCAAACAUUUAUUUAUUUUAUUUUUGUUUUCCUCAAAAGAAGUGCAGUUCAUUGGUAAAAUGAGGUUCCAAUUCUAGAAAUUACUACAAAUUACAAUCCCUUAUUUUAUUUUAACACGUCCCUUUCCUUAUUCUUUGCUCUCUAUGAUGUGAUAGAGAGAUGUAAUAAAUUCACUUUUGAAUUUCAUGUGUGAGCGAACAUGAGAUAAUAAAGUUUAUAGAAAAAAAAAAUUGAUUCAUUAUAGAUUUUCCUCUAAGAAAAUUAUUUCUCAAUCACAGAGGGUAAAAUUCCAUGCUCGAACCAAGAAAAAAUAUUCAACCUAACAAUUUCAGCAUUGUUAGUUGUGCUAGGUUUUACGGACCAGGACAUCAUCGUUGUCUACCAAUUUUUUUUUACAGAUUUGAGGCGAUUUAAUUUGGUUGAUAAACACGAGUAAAUUACUCAAAUGCCCCUUGGCAGUUAACUGCCGAAAUUUUAAAAAAUCGGCUGCAGUUAACUGUCGAGAAAUUUCAAACCUGAAAUUAAAUAAGGAAAUACACCUAUGUUUUCCUUAAUUAAAUUUAAAUCUUUAAUCCUUUUAAGGAAUUAAACAUAAUUAUUUUUAUGAUUUCAUUCAUAUGAUUUUGUUGCUAUAAAUGAAGAAAUAUGAGAGAUGAAUAAUAUCUGUAAUCGGUAGUUAAUAGACCUAAAAUGAUGAUUCAAUAAAAAAAAUGCAACAACAAAAACGUUACAAAUGAUAGAAUAAUUAUAUUUGUAAUUAUUAGUAAUUAAUUUCAUUGAUGUUGUUAUUAUUCAUAAGUUUGACUAACCUAUUAUUACUUUAUACUAAUAUUUUAGAUAUUAUUACUUUAAUUAACAUGAAAAACGCAACAACAAAAAAUAAGGGGGAUUUAUUGGAUUAAGAUUCUAUGGGAUUUUAAAAGAUUUUUUAAUUAUGAAAAAGUCUUGUGGUAUUCAAUCAAAACUUUUUGCAGCCGGUUCUUUAAAAUUUCAACAGUUAACUGUCGAAGGAUAUUUGAGUAAAUUACUCGUAUUUCUCAGUCAAACCAAAAGUGUGAACAGCAAUACUCAAUUUCAAAAACAUGUAUAUGCCACGGUAAAUAAAGCCAGUUGUUGACUUGUUGAUAGUUGUGUUGUUAUUACUUGUGUACAAAUGCUUACCAAACGAGGGUGGGAUGUUGGCACUCUGUUAUGUUAAGAAUCUUCACGUUUUGGCUAUAUUCCAAUGGAAGCGACAGAGCCUCAUUUCCGUUCAAUUUCAUCUUUGUUUUUUUAUAUACGACGUACAAAUACUAACUAACUAAAGGUACAUUAACUUUAAAAUAAAGCAAGAAAUUUUGUAGUAUUGCUUACCUAAUAUAUAUAUACCUUACUUUUAAAAAUACAUAUUAAAAUAUAUGUAAUAAAAAAUUAUAUUAAAUGCUAUAUAAAUGUUAAAUGUUAGAGUCUCACAUUGAAUAUGAGAAUAGUAUAACAAUAUGUUUACAAGUUAUUUAUAAUAGGUUCUUAAUAAUAAUACUAAAUAAAUAUCAAAACUUAUUUAUAUAGAAGUUAUUUUAGUAUUAUUAAGAGCCUAUACUUUUUUUUUGAGCAAAAGAGCCUAUACUUAAUUGAUAAGAAAUUGUUACCAAUAUACCAACUCCAUUAAGUACCAUAAAUUUGAGAAAGAGACCUUGCAUAUUUUUCAGGUGAUUUUGUUGACAUCUUUUUCUCUUAACACUAGGAAGGACCCUUUAGUUUUUCAUUGUAAUAUAAAUAUUCUUGUACAAGUUGACUACCUUUGAAUUUGCAUGUCGUCGUUGAUGGCUAUAUAUAGGGUUAGAUCUAACGUCAUUGUUCAUUUGGUGGAAGAUUUUUAUGAGGAGUGUGUGGUACAUAACAUAUGCAACAUAAAUAACAUAUUAGCAGUAGUCUCUGCAAUGUUCGUUAUUGUAAUUACUGGUAAAAUAGCUGCGACACUUUUGUCGCAUGUAAAUUCCUUCUUCACAUGGAAAUCACCCGUCCGUGAGUGAGUGAAUGAAUGAGUGACUAUUAACCAACCAACCCAGUCAUUUCAUUUCGCCUUCACUCUCUACCCGUUACAGUUUUUCUAACUUUCUUUCUUUAGAUUGAGUAACUUCAAUAAUGCAAUGCAACUAAAGAUUAUUACUUACAACUUCUAUGCUCAAAUAAUUGUUGCAAUGCAAUUAAACACUCACUCAUGCGUGUCCCCGUGAGCCUAAUCCAGUUUGUAGAGACAUUGCAUUAUAUAUAUAGAGGUUGGGGUUCAAACUCAAACACUCUACUUAUUCACCUUAAAAAAAAUGAAUUUAAGUCAAUUGGCUACCUGACUAAAAAAAAACGCACUCAUAUGUUUUAUUUCAUAAGCUGGUUUUAGACCUUUUUAUCUGAAAAACUUAUCUCACAUUGUAGUUGAUAUGUAUGGUUAGACCUUUUGUGAGGUUUGUGUGUCCCCUAGUCUAUCACUCUCUCACAGUUAAACUACUUUGUUUUUGAGAGGUUUGUAUACCUUACUUAAAAACAACUAUCAUUCUCUCAUCAAUUUCAUCAUUAAGCUAUUAAAAUUAACUAAAAAGUACCUAAACUAUUCUCACAUAUAACUAUUAGCCCCUUGGUUGACAAAGUUAAUUUUUUUUAUGAUGGUUUAUGGACUAAAUUGAUAUAUUUUUUAUAGUUUAAAGAUCUUCUAGUUGAUUUUAAUAACUCGAAGGCUAUAUAUGUGAAAAAAUUGAUAGUUUAAGGAACAAGUUGAUUGUUUAUUCUUAAUUUGAUUGAAGUCUACUGGCACACAAAUUUACAAGGAUACGGUGGAUAUGGGGAAGUUAUACCUGAUAUCCCUACAUUUAAUCUUUUACCCCCUACAAAUUGUUGAAAAUGCCAAAUUUACCUUUUAUCAUUUCACUUCACCCUGCAUAAAAUUUUAGCCAACAAUACACUUCCGAGAUUUAAUACUCCAAUUUUCGGAAUAUUCAUAUCAAAUUUUUAUGGUAGAUUAAUUUGUAAACCGGAACAAUUGAGUAAAGAAUUAUUAUCAGAAUUCUUUCUUCUUUCAUCGAGGUUUGAGAGACAAUGAAAGAUGGAAAAUAGAAUACAACAACCUGUAUUAGUUAAUAUAAAAUUAAGUGCAAAGCAAAGAUCAUGAUACCAAACCUCAUCAAUUCUUCUUCCAAUUCAUUUUAUUUAGAUCUAAAAAAAUGAAAGGCCGUAUAUUUCUGGAGUAGAAUUUUAGAUGUAAGGUUGGGAAAUCAAAAAACCUGGCUAAAACUGCAGAAACCUGUUUUCUGAAUUCUUUCUAAAAAAACAGUGUAAAAAAAUGCUUGUCUCUUUAUCUGUAGAUCUAAAAAAAAAUCAUUUCUAAUUCAUCUUGUUUGGAAAUAUGAAUACGAAAAGUUGUAUAUUUUAAUUUUUUUUAUUUUUACAAAAUACCGUUGUUGGGAAUGUGAAUAAUCUAAGAUUAAAUGUAGGGGUGGUAAAAGAUUAAAUGUAGGGGUAUAUGGUAUAAUAUCCUGGAUAUGGUAGGCUUAUAUUACUUAGAACCCAAAUCAUGUUACUUAGGCCCGUCAUCAUGGACUUUUUUCAUGUGGUUUCCAUGCAGGCUAGUUGAAUAUUGCUCUUUAGGCAUCCAUGUUUUGCUCUCAGACAUUUUGAAAUUAUUAUUUUACCUCAAUGAAAAUUAAUUACCAUUUGUUGAUGAACGAUGGUUAGUUUUCAUUCUCUUAUGAACAGUAGUUAAUUGUCGUUCUAGGGCAUUUUAUGUGGUUCAGAUUGCGCAGACAGUUUUUGUGGUCCACGAUACAUAAAAACUUCUAUAAAUUGGUGUGUUUGGUUCAUUUGAAACCACACCACAAAAUCAUGAAUAUUUAUCUAGUAGAUCCGAACACCAAAUUAGCGCAGUUAACUACAACGGGGAAAACUCAAUAUGUUUAGGGUUCAGGUUAAUGCUAUAUCGGUUGACUUGAAGGAACAUAGUUGGACCAAAUUAACAGUCGACUCAACCACAAAGACACAAGAAAGGUGGAAAGUGUUGAGUAUCGUCAUCCAUUCGUUUGACUCAUAUGAAAGCGUCAAGUUCACCCAUAUGAAGUUCAAGAACAACGACAUCGUGAGAACCAUCAAGUUAGACGCUUCAUUGGUCAAAUAUUUUUUAGAUGUUCCGGAAAGUUUGAUUCAGAUUAGGACCUUCAAAGAAAACAGGACUUGCAUGGAUAGACCAAAAGAAAUAAGUAUGUCUUAUUCGUGAUUUUGUAUGUGUUUUAUUAUGUUGUUAAAUUAUGUUAGUGUAUUGUGUUUUAUUAUGUUUAAUGUAUGUUUUUGUUAACUUAUGUCAUUGAAAUUAUGUUAAUGUAUUGUAUUUUAUUAUGUUUAAUGUAUGUUCUUCUGAGCUUUCCUUUGUAACUAAUGAUUAACUACAGUUUCUUCUGAAAACAACAAUUAACUAUUGUUCCUAGAAUGGGAGUUAACUCUUGUUUAACAACGAAAAAUAAUUAAUUAUUAUUUCGGAUAAAAUAGUCAAUUUGAGACGUGUUAAAACAAAGUAUGAGUGUCUAACGAACAAUUUUCAAGAUAGUUUAGUCCUUUUUGGGUUCUACCUUUUUUUUUUAUGAGUAACUUCUACACCUAGUUUCCAUUCUUUUUUGUGUUAAUUGUCCGAUUUCUUAGCAUGUGCGUAACUCACGCAGCGUGACUUAAGUCACACAUGUGUAAAAACUAAGUCAUGUAUUUUUUACACUUGCGCUAAUUAACUAACGCAAGGGUAUUUUCGGCAACACUGCAGGGCGCGAGUGUUUUGUGUUGGGUGAAGAGCAGAAUUCUAAAGUCAUAUAUAUAUAUUAUGGUUUUAAAAGGGUAAUUGCUAAAUCAGAUUCAUAGGAAGCAACUAAGUUAAUAUUGAAAGGGCAUGGUAAAGGGCACCCUUGUUCUCAUAUCAUUUCUCAUAUUUCUAAUUUUCUUGUCUAAUUCAUGAGUUACAAGUUUCAACGUGUCUAACGUGAAGCCAACAAAGUCGUGAAUGCUUUUGCAAGGAAUAUCCAACUUCAAAGUAUUAGCGCAGCUUUAACUUGAUGAACAAACUUAGAGUUUUCUAGGGUUUUAAUUUGAUUUUGUUGAAAUAGAGAGAGAAUGAGAAGAAUGGGUGAAUGAGGAGACAAGAAGUAUUAAAGUUGUGAUUUCAUUUAUAUGUAAAAAUACACAUGAAAGUAGCUUAUAUACAUGGUUUUUUGCUAGGUUACUUGAAGUACAAGUCAUAUAACAAACCCUAAAUACCUUAAGCUAAAAUCUAGUAAAUUUGUAACAAACUAUUAACAAACUAAACUAACUAGAUUUCUAAUGUGAUUAACCAAACAAGCUUGAUUAGAUCACUAACAAACUUGAAUUAUCAACUAACACAAAGUUGCGAUAAUAUAAAAAUAAUAUCAGAACUAGUCUCUCUUCAAAUGAAUGAUGCAUCACAACUUAUCUUUCUCCUUUGAUGGAAAAAUUUGUUCUAAUACCAAUUAUUGAAGGAAAAAAAUCAAUAAAAAAUCUUUAAACAAGCGGGAACACAACCACAAAAUAAGUAAAAGAGAUAAAAACAAAUCACAAGCCUAUUUUUCGAUACUUCACAGUUCACACCUUCAUUCAUAAUAUCUUAACAAAAUAUUUGUUACAAAAAUAUGCAUAGUUUUACUAGGAAUUGCAAACCCUCUUGUACAAUUAUAAUUUUUGCACAGAAAUAUUGCAAACUAAUCUUUCUCAAUUACAAUUUUUGUAAGAAAAACUACAAACUCUUUCAUGACACACAACUACCCAACCUCUUUUUUUUUUUUUUUUUUUUUCAUUACUCGAUGUGCGAUGUGAAAGAAUAUCAAUUUUAGAGAACAAAUGGCUAUAAUUUAUAGGUGGCCUUUAUGAUUUUUGGCACAAAUUUUCAUACUGUGAAAUGUGAAUAGAUGCAUGUGCAGAGAUGGAGUUCAUAAUUUAAAUCUUACGUUAAAAAUAAAACAAGUUUUUAAUGUUAUAGUUUAAAAAUAAAAAAUUGUUUCUUAUAUACAAUAUUUUUAUGAAUAUUUACAUAGUUCUUAAAAAAAUUAAUAAUGAAUGGUAUAUUCGUGUCCUGUAUGACACAAUGAAACAUAUGCACAUGAUUAAAUUAUACAUUAAGCCUAAUCAUAUGAUCUGAAAAGAUUUUCUCUACAUUUCGUCGAGCUAGCAAGGUAGAUAGAUGUCAACUAAUAAGUUGAUGAAAUCGGCUAAAAAAGAUUCCCAGUUGAAGUUUAUUAUUUUUUUGGUGCAACCCAGUUGAAGAUUUUAUUAACUUUGAUGAUGGCUCUGAACUACCAAGUUUUCUAGAACUUGAACAAGUCCUUAAUUUUAGUUGAAUUGCAAUACUAUGUCUAUAUGUAUAGUAUACCGUUUCUGGUUUCAUAGUCUGUUAAUUUUAAGGAAUUUUUUCAAGUGGCUCAAAAAAAACAUAUACAGUACAUUCUUUAGUUUUAUUUACAUCGUUUUCAAUCUCUUUCGCUUUUUUAAAUAUUUACGCAGAAAACAUUUUUUUUUUUUUUUCAAUCAGAAAGAGGCAAAAUUAAGAUUUGCAUUGGUUUUAGUCAUCACCUACUACAUUAAAUUACUAUUUGUGGAAAAUAUUGUUUAUAGCGUGAAACUGUGCUCUGACUGGCUCACAUGCAAACGGACAGUGGCAAUAUUGUUUAAGGAAGUAUUAAUCUUUUUUUUUUUUUUUUUUUUGACAGAAACCAUAUAGUAUUAAUCUAUUAUUACUACUAUAUAUGCAUAAAAAAGGACCAAUUAACCGACAUGCUUUGAGUUAUUUUGUGUUUUUUUUUUUUAUUGUUUCUGAAAAAAUCAACCAACAUGCUUCUUUUUUUGCGCUAACUAAAACUAAUUUAUUUAUGCUACUAAUCAAUUUAUUAAGACUAAAACUUGAGUACAAGUUAGUCUUUUUUUUUGUAGUUGGUGACCUACAAGUGGUACUCUUGUACUCAUUAUACUCAAAGUCAAGGGUACAUGCGUAUGUGUUAUGCUGAAUUCGAAAAUUCAUAGUCAAGACCCAGCAAUAUCAAGAUAUAUACACACAUGUCCUAAAGUGCAUUCUGGAGAAUAAGAACUACAAGUCUAAAGUUUUUCUUUUUGUUAGUAAAGUUAUUUUAGUCCAAGUUUAGACUAUACAACGCUGACUAUGAAAUAUGAAAGGAAAAAAAAACCUUCAAUUUUUGUCAAAAAAAUAAAUUCCAUUGUCUCUAACUAAUUAUUGAAAUUUUAAACAUGUGUUUGGUCUAACGGUAUGGUAGAAAAAAUCACGGCAAAAAUUCACGGUAACUACAAAAUCUAAAAAUUUGUAAUUUCUUUGAAAUUUGAGUUUGUAACUUCGAACGUCAAAUAAUCGUUCAUUAAGUCUCUAAAGCUCACAUGAUCAGACCAGCUUUGAUUGCAAAAUAUGACCAACUAAUUACUAAUAAACAUUUAAUUUUGUUAGCAGAUCAAUUUAUCUGUUUAAUGUUAAAAUAAAUCUGAUCCAAUUCAAUACUUUUGGACAUAGAUUGAAAUGGUUUCCCCCCCCCCCCCCCCCCCUUUUUUUUUUUUUUUUUUGUAAACUAGGUAUCCUCCGCGCGCAACUGCGGAGACUAAUCCCUCGAGCAUUGUGAGACCCAAAUGGACGGCAGACUCUCCCUAAGAGUUUUAACGCUGCUGGAGGUAUUGUAAAUAAUAUUUUGUGUUAUAUUAUUUUUAAGAGUGUAUAUUUCUAUAUAAAAAGAGUGAGUUUUGCCUUCAACCUCGAGGUAAUCGGUUUGAGACCUAGGCACUGAGAACAUGAGUUUUUUCGAUUAGCUCUUUAAAAAAUUAUUUAUAGGAGGAAUAAUUGUUUUUAUGGAAUUUGUCGUGUAAUAAAAAUCUAAAUCGUCUAGUCUACAAUUUUGUAUAGUCUUCAAUUAUGUUGUGAAUUCGGGCUUUGAAACUUCACACCAAUCCAAACUAUGAUGUGUGGAGAAAGUAUCAAUGGCAACCAACAACCAAAUUAACCAUAAGCAAUAACAAUAAUAUAUACCAAGUCUAUAAACCAAGUGCAUAGCAAAAUCACAAUCCAACCAAAUAAUAAACAAGAUAAAAGAGUAAAGAAAAAUAGACAACAACACCAAGAGAUUGUUCACCCAGUUCGGUCCAACCAUGACCUACUCUGGAGGAGAGAUUGAUCUCUUCAAUCCACUAUCAAUGAGUUCUUACAAAGAGAUACAAAUGAGUUACAAGAAAUUAGCUUCAACAAGCUCACAAAAAACAACCCUAAUUUCUACCAAUUUUCCCAAUCUCACCAAUGAACAAGACACUCAUGAUUUUUACUCUCCCAAGGUGUUUACAAUUGUUUCACAACUCUAGAAUCUAACCCCCAAAAGAGAACCAACUCUUAGCCUUUGAUUUCACUUAGGAUCUUCUCUUUUGGUUUCACAAGACUCACCCAAGUUGCUCGCAAAUGACUCUCCACUCAUGUGUUUCCCAACCCCAUGAAUCUUCUCCAAAAGGCACCAACCCUUUUCACAAGAGCCCCCUCUUUUGGUUCUCCAAGAUUCACAUCUUGAAGCUUUGAACCUCACCCAAAGACCCUCAACCUUUAGUAUCUAAAACCCUAAAAGUUUCAUCCUUUGGUUGUUAUGGGAUUCACCAAGCUUACCCAACAAAUGGAUCAGGGAGUGUUUAAAACAUGUUUCAGAUCUGUCAAAAUCGUGUCACAUUUUGCCUUCAGAACCAAACAUGCAUUCGGCAUCAGAAAUCGUGACACGGUUGCCAAAUCGUGUCAUGAUUCUUCACUUUCAUAAAGACUUAAUUUUGAGUCAUAUAUAUACCAACAAAUUCAAAUUAUAUAAAUGGACGGUAUAUUCUUUAGUAAAAGUAUUAUUUCACAAUUUAAUACGUAUUAUUAAAAGAAAUUAGAAACAAUUAUCAAAAAAUUAUGAUAGAUAAUAUAUUAAACUCGUCUAGUGUGUGUGUAUUUUUGAAGGAUAGUGUGUGUGUGUAUUAACAUCAUUCUCUAAUUAUUUUUGUAGGGAAACAAUGUUGGUUAAAUUGAUGUGUACUUUUUUUUGUAAAAAAUAAUCGACGUAUUUUUAAAUGAGAUUUACAUGUAGAGAGAGACAGCGGUAGACAUAGUAGUAGAACAAUUAAAAUUUAAAAGACCACUUUACAAAUUGCACCAAGUGGUCCUCUAAAAAAGAUCACCGACAGUUGCUUCACUUUACCUUCAUAUAUUUUAGAGCAAUGAUAUUUGAACAAUUAUUUAGUACAACAUUUUUUGACAAUCUUCUUUUUCUCUCUUUUUAUUGGUCAAAAAUAAUGAAGAGAAAAAAGAAGAGAUAGAGUAAAAAUAUAAUAUGAAUAUGAGAAAAAAAAUUGUCUAAAAAUUAUCACAAAAUGGUUGUACAAAUAUUAUUUCUCCAUAUUUUAGACACAGGCUAAUCAUUAAUUAAUUUGUGUAAAAAAAAACAAUAAUAUUAUUUUGACAACAUUAUUCAACACCUUAUCUUUCUUUCAAAAAACAUUAUUCAACACCUUAUGUUCAUAUUAUCAUUUGAUUUUCUUAAUUAUGUUUUACAUCAGUCACAUCAAGUGACAUUUUACACGCUUAUCAAUUUUUUUUGUCAAGUAGCCUAGUGUUUAGAACUCAUAUAAUUUAAUUGUGAAGAAAUGAAGUGUCAGAGAUUCGAACUCCAACCCCUGCAUAUAAUAUGCAAUAUCCCUACCAACUGAACUAAGCUCACGAAGAUCGCGGUUAUCAAUUUUUGUAGUUCAAAUAACAUCACUAAAAAAAGCUACGAGGCAGACGCACAAAUUUUCAUUGAGCAGUUGUGUUAAUUAAUUUUAUAACGCAAGGAAAAUGGUGAAGUUUUUGUGAAUAGAGAAAUGAUAUAUAUACAAUCAUUUUCAAACAACUUUUGUAAUAACUUUAUCUCUCAUUUUUAUAUUUUAUUUUUAUUUUUUUCUCUAUUAUUUUGGUUUUCGUUUAUGAUUUUUUGUAAGAAAAUGAUUGUCUAUGUAGUUAUCAAUCACAUUGAUGUUCAAAUAACAUUGCUUUUGUGAAUAAUGCAAAAUAGUUUCUCGGAACAAUCAAUUAUUCAAUUGAUAUUUACGAAAUUAGUUUUUGUAGGGUGUCCCUAUAAAUCACAUAUACUUUAAAACAGUCAUAUGUAUUCACGAUUCGAGAUCUUAUAAAAAAACCAUUCCAGAUCAUGUAUGAAAAUGAAAUAUAUAUUUUUUUUGACUGGUGUAUGAAAAUGAAAUAUUUUCAAAAAUAAAAUAUACUCUCUGCCCAUAUAAUGUCAGCGUAGGUGUCGGUGUUUUUCUACCGACUAUAAGAAAAACUGUAAAAUAAAUAAAACAAUAUAGUAAUUUAAAUUAGUGAUUGUAAAUUAUUGUCUUAAAUGUAUAGUUCAAUAUAAUAGAUUAAAAAUGAUGAAAAAAAUAUUAAUUUAAGAGUAGAAUUGAAAUAACAUAUAUGUUUUCGAUAGUUUAACUAAAUUGAUAAAGACAUUGCAUAAUAAUAUACAAGUGUUUUGAAAUUCCAUUUAUUCAUUACAUGUGAAUUUUUAGAUAUUAAACUAUUUGGAAAAUAAAAUAAAAUAUCAAAUAAUUAAGGUUUAAAUAUGUAAGUAGUCCCUGUAAUUUCGCGUAUUUUUGUUUUCGUUCCUGUAAGUUAUUUUGUUCUAAAACAAACUCUGUAUUUUGCUAACCUUUUGGAAAAGGUCCUUGCCGUCAGCUUCCGUCAACAAAAACGCCAUGGUGGCUAACGGAGCACACGUGGCAGUUCAUGAGUUGGCAAAGUUGAUGAGAUGGAAUGAGAGAUGAUAAGUUGUUAAAAUACAGGGACUAAAAUCAAAAACGUAAAUUGACACAGGGAUGAAAUUAAAAAAACGUUUAAUCUUCUUUUUCCUCUCAAAUUUCAGUCUUCUUCUUCCUCUCAAACUUUCCCCAAUCUAUCCCAUACCUUGCGCCCUUGAACCAAAACUCAUAUCCUUCAACAAUUUAUUCUAAUUCCAUUACUCAAUCAUAUUGUGUGUUUUGAUUGUAAUGUUAAGUUGAAACAUUGUAUGCUACUUAAGUUUGAUUAAUUUAGUGAUGGUUGUUGCGAUUGAUUGCAAAUUCAUUCAUAAAGUUUGUAGAUAAUAAAGGCAAGAAUACAUCUUUUUCAUCCCUCUUUUUUUUCCACAAUUCCCUCUUAUUCUUCCAGAUUGCUACAAUUACCAUACAUAAAUAGUCAGAUCCCCUUUCAUCUUUUCUCACUCACAUUCAAAUUCAAACUCUAAUUUCUCAAAUUUUUGCUUUUGAAUUGUGUAAUUUUGUGUUUUUAUGUAAUUGGUGUAGAGAGUUUAUGUUGUUUUAAUGUGUUGAUUAAGAGUGGGUCUUGUUGUUGUUGAUUGAUGAUUAUUAGUUUUGUUUAAAAAAAUAUAUAUGUUUGUUGUUUUCUUUCUUUUCCUGGGUUUGGUGUUGAUGAUUUAUGAAUAUGGUGAUGAAGAUGAAGAAGACAAUGAAGGAAGAAGAAGAAUAAGAUCUUGAUUUUAAAUUUGAAAUUUUGAUUUUACGUUUUUUAUUUUAGUCCCUGUGGUAAUUUACGCUUUUGAUUUUAGUCCCUGACUUUACACAACUAAUCAUCUCUCAUGCCAUCUCAUCAAAUGUGCCAAGUCAUGACCUGCCACCUGUGCUCCGUUAGCCACAAUGGCGUUUUUGUUGACAGAAGCUGAUGGUAAGGACCAUUUUCAAAAGGUCAAAAAGAUACAAGGUUUAUUUUAUAUAAAAAAAAAAACUUACAAGGACGAAAACAAAAAAUACGCGAACUUAGAGGAACCUUUUACAUAUUUAAGCCAAUAACUAAUAGCACUUAUUUUGGUACAUUUCUCUUUUGCAAAUGUGAAACUUAAUAUUGGAUGGGGUCAAUAAUUUUGAGAAUGAAUAAACCCAUUAUUUAGUCUUUUAAUUUUUUUUUUCCAUCCAUCAGGUUUCUAAACUAUUUACAAACACUAAAUGUCCUUAAGACAUAGCUCAAGUAACAAUAUUGAUAUUGAGAAGUUGGAUAUUUUCAUCCGAGUUUGAACUCGAAUUCUUGCAAUUACGAGUGUGAAUUUCAGGUAAUUUAUAUCAAUUUAUCUGUAAACAAAAGGAGAUAUAUACGCGUAACAAAUAGGUCUAAUGCAAAUUAACAACUUAUUUUUAGUUUAUAAAAUAUAUGAAAUUUAAUCCUUUAGUCCCUAGUAUAUUUUAACAAUGGGCACUAAAGCAACAUAUAUUUCAUAUAUUUUAAAUACUACUACAUCUUUCCUUAUGUAUAAGCUCAUUUGACAUUUUCACAUAUAUUAAAAAAGUUAGUAGUGUCUUGACAAAAAAGAAGCUCCUUAGAGUUUCCUUAUGUAUAUUUUUUUAAACCGAAAAAAUUGUGUACAAAAAAUGACUAUUAUUACUAAAAAAAAUCUUUUGCAUAUAGAUGUGUUCAACAUUUAUUUUGCAAUUCUCAAGACAAAUCAGUGGUACAUCUUAAUAAGUGAUAUAUUUGUUAGGAAAAAAAAUUACUAUAUGUAUCUAGUUAUUUGCAAGACUAAUGAUUCUUAGCAAAUAUGCUUAUAUUGAGAGAACUUUUUUCUAAAGAGAGCUUAUAAUUAGAGACUAAGAUUUUGCCAAAAAAUAAAGAAAAAUUAGAGAAUAAGGUUUAUACUAUACUUUAGAAACUAAUUUGAUGAGAUACGACUAAAUCGAAGAUAUAUUUUUUUAGAAUAGUGUUAGAACCUUAGAAAUUAUAAUCAAUAGAAAUAGAAAUGUUCCUUACAGAUCCAUAAUAGUGACAAUCUUGUCUUUUCUUUUGAGGAAAUAAUAAUAAAGGUGGUGCCAACAUUUCAACAAACCUAGCUAUUUUAAUUAUUCUGUUCUCACAGCCUGCACCUUAGAUCAAAUCCAAAUUGGGUCAUCACCGUUCCAAAAUGCUUAGGGACGUUACUCUAAAUGUCAAUAUGAAUGAGUAAUUCAAAUAGUUAACAUAGCCCGCCAGCCUUAUAUAAUAAUAUCAAUAUAUGUCGACUAAUUAUCGAGAUGCUAAAUUGGAGUACACUUCACAAACAAAAAUCUUUCAUAAGGCGUUUUUUCUCUUAAUACAUUUUUUCUUUUCUUAUGCUAGUAACAUUUACUCUGUAUUGGCCUUCCUAAGAAGAAGUUGGAUAGUAGCAAUGUGUUCGUGAGACUGCUGAUAUCUUAAAAGAAUGUUCUCAUAGAUUCCACUUUUUUAGUAAGCUUUUAUGUGUAUGAGUUUGCAAAUUUAACCCUUUUUAAUUCGGAUAGAUUUAUAAGUCACACCUUCAAGUACAAUCGACAAAAUUUCAGUAAUAAUUACGGUUUAGGGUUUAUGGGUCUAGAUCUACUAAAAAUGAGUGGGUGUAUAAAUUAGUAUAUCCUAGAGUUUAUUAUCUUACGUUCGAUCUUCUUUGCAGAAACUCGUGCAUGUUCGUGAUAUAUAUUUUCGCGAGAAGUACAUUUCCCUAAAACAAAAUCAACCACUGACAUAAACACGUCAAAUGUAAGCCGGUAAAUCCAAGCUUUACUAACACGAGUUAUAUUAUAUCAUUGGCAUCAGCUACUUAAGAACUACUGUAGAAAAUUUACAGCAAGUCAUCGAGGCUUAAUAAAAUGUGUUGAUAUAGUUACAAAGAUAAAUUAAAUAGCAGAGCAUACAUGAAGAGAACAAAUGUAGAGCAACCCCUUAAACAAACCCUCUCAGUAAGGUAUCUUCACAUUACUCUAAGUUCAUAAAAGAUGACUUUAAAAACGAUUAUUUCAAAAUGCAAGUAUUCUCCGACCCCUUUUUCCCGGAUCUAGAUCUAAUAGUGUAAGGAUAUAUAUAAAUCAUUGUCACAUUUUACAACUCAAGAGUUUACCUCAACUCGUUUUGUUUAGGUAAAUUCGACUCGAGAACUCGUAUGACUUUACCUAAAAUUAAAAUUAUAUAAAAUUUAUUAUAUAUGCAUGACAUAUGUAAGUUAAUAUAAUAUUGUAAAUAGGUCAAUAGUGCAAAAUAUGACUUAAUUACAAAGACAAAUUAUACCAUAAUAAAAUGUUAUGCUCAACUUAGCUUCAAAAUACAAAAAUUAACGCACAAAAUCAUAAGUCUCUAAGUUUAAGCCAUCCAUAAAACCAUCCAAAAAAAGAAAGUUUCACAAGUUCCUAAAGUUAUUAAUAAAACUAUCUAAAAAAUAAAGUAGUUAAUUUCUUCAAAACGUCAACAAACACCACCACAACAACCCUAACCAGUGUCACAAUCACCGGCGUUGAAAUAUGAAUUUCCACCGUCUGAAUCACAACCCUAAAUGGUAUGUGCUCCCCUGUUCAUGGUUUGAGAACUUAGAAAAGAAAAAGGGCAAUCCGGUGCACUAAAGCUCCCACAUACGCAGGGUCCGGGAAGGGGUCCCACCAUUUUUUGUGUAUUGUACGCAACCUUACCCUGUUUUUGAUCACAAAAGAAAAAGAAACGUUUCAUUUUAGGAACAACUUGUCACUGUAAAGGUAACUAUUAAUUAAACGUUUCAGUCUUUGGGGUUGUAGAAAAGGAAUUGGAUUUUGAAAAAAAUGGGCACAUAAAAAGGGCCAAUUUUUAGAUGUAAACUCGUAAAACUCAGUAAACUCGGUCGAGUUUACACGAGUUUACCUAGUGUUAACUCGGUCAAACUCGUUAAACCUUCCAAUUUUACCAGAAACCGAGUUUACCUCCGAAUUAACAUGAUUUUGGCACCUACGUAAACUCGAAGAGUUAACACUCAAUUUGCGGAACAUUGCAUAUAUAUUUAAAGAUAUAUGUAUAAUUAUAGAGAAAGUAGAGAAGGGAUAUACCAUUUUAUGUAGGGUUAUUAUGUAUCAAAUCAUAAAGAGUCGAGAGUUGUAUUAUACCAUAAUAUUCUUCCGUAAACUGGUAGUCAUGAUCAUGACGUAUAUUAUUCAAGUAUAUGCAAAAACAUGUCUGUAUCUAGUCUAAAUUUUUGACCAAAUGCAUGUAUUUGCUUAUAUUUUGUUACUACUUACUACUCGCCAAGUAAUGCUCAAUAUCUAAUAUAUAUAUUUCAAGACCAUCAAAGAUAACUCAGUUGAACAAUACAUAAUAUAUGCAAGGUUCGGGGUAUAUUACAUUUUCAAUUAUUCUAAUAAUAAAUUUAAAUGACACUUAAAUUAUACAACUAUUAAAUAGAUCUUAGUACCGUAAAAUUUAUAUUCGAGACUUGCUAGGGAGAACCAUCAACCUCAACAAAAAUUUCUACUUGAAUCUAACGCAAACAAAAGGUCCAACCAUCUAUGAAUCUCCGUUGAUAUCACAAAUGAUGUUUGAUACAAGAGAGACAUAUUAGAACAUAAUCUAUGUACAAUCUACAUUAAAAUAAAAAACAAGUCUACAGUCAUAUAAAUAACACAAUUUCAAAAUCUCAAAAUUAGGUAUGAAAACAAAAUGAUUAGAAAAAUAAAUGAUUCAAUCAUUCCGAGAUUUGUGCAAAAAAAAAAAAAAAAACAUUUUGAAAAUACAAUGUUAGAAACUUAUGAUCAAUAUAUAUUUUUCCUUACACAUCAAAAAUAAUUAAGCUAUAUUCUUGUCUUUUCAUUUUGGGCAAACUAAAAUUAAAAUCAAGGUAGUGUCAAUGUUUCUAUAGUCCUAGCUAUUUGAUUUUCUUCUAAGCUAACAAGAGUCUUCCAAAAUCAAAUUCGCGCUCAAAAUUAAAGCAACUUGGGUGGUAACCAUUCCAAAAUACUUAGGGCCACAUUGCUCUAAAAGUCAAUAAGAAUAAGUAAUAAUUCAAAGAUAGCCAACCUUAUAGUAUAUUUUAAUAUGAAUGUAUGCAUGUUUCCUAGAAGGUGAGUAAGCUAACUAAUCAAGAUACUUUGUUGGAGUUAAAUAUGGUAAAGAAUCCAACUAUAAAAUGGGGACUUGCCCCAGCAUUCUUUCACAAACCAAAACCAACUUCUAAGAAAAAAAUGAGGUCCCUAAUGGCCUCUGCUUCUCUCACUCUUGCAUUAGCCAUCCUCUUUUUGAGUUUCCCAUCUGAAAUUUCAGCAAACAAAUACGCAUAUUCCUCUCCACCACCACCACAUUACUCAUCUCCUCCACCUCCACCGGUUCACACUUACCCUAAACCAGUCUACCACUCUCCACCACCACCAGUUCACACCUACCCUAAACCAGUUUACCACUCUCCACCACCACCAGUUCACAAGUACCCUCACCCUAAACCAGUAUACCACUCUCCACCACCCCCAGUUCACAAGUACCCUCAUCCACACCCAGUCUACCAUUCUCCACCACCCCCAGUUCACAAGUACCCCCAUCCUCACCCAGUGUACCACUCUCCCCCACCACCACCACCAAAGAAGUCCUACAAAUACCCAUCUCCCCCACCACCACCAGUUCACACCUACCCUAAACCAGUCUACCACUCUCCUCCACCCCCAGUUCAUCACACCUACCCUAAACCAGUCUACCACUCUCCUCCACCCCCAGUUCACACCUACCCUCACCCUAAACCAGUCUACCACUCUCCACCACCCCCAGUUCACACUUACCCUAAACCAGUCUACCACUCCCCACCACCACCAGUUCACACCUACGUCCCUCACCCUAAGCCAGUCUACCACUCUCCACCACCACCAGUUCACACCUAUCCCCCACAUGUUCCCCACCCAGUUUACCAUUCUCCUCCUCCUCCAGUUCAUUCCCCACCUCCACCACACUAUUACUACAAAUCACCUCCUCCACCUUACCACAACUAGAUAGCCCAUAAUUGGCAUCACACCAUAUGGUAACUUUUCAUGCAACAUAUAUAUUAUAACUUUUCAUAUUCUCUCUUUAUUAACUAGUUAUCGGUAUGAUUGUCGAGUAUAUACUAACAAGGCUAAUUUGAAAUGAAACUUCAUGUGCAAUGAAACAUUCUUUUACUGGUUAAUAUUUUAUUCUAUGUUUCAUUGAAAUUAAUAUUUUUCUAAUAGUAUUUGGUUAUUAAGGGAUUAGAGUAUAUCAGACAUAAACUGACAGAUCAAUAUAUUUGCAUUUGUGUAGGAUCUAAAC